UCGGGGCGUAGCUCAGCUUGGUAGAGCGCUACGUUCGGGACGUAGAGGUCGCAUGUUCAAAUCAUGUCGCCCCGAUGAA
This 79-nucleotide transfer RNA is filed under the name Phycisphaera mikurensis NBRC 102666. RNAcentral describes it as "tRNA-Pro". It matches the Rfam family "tRNA". Rfam says of the family: Transfer RNA (tRNA) molecules are approximately 80 nucleotides in length. Their secondary structure includes four short double-helical elements and three loops (D, anti-codon, and T loops). The record is from RNAcentral. Lineage: Bacteria; Pseudomonadati; Planctomycetota; Phycisphaerae; Phycisphaerales; Phycisphaeraceae.